GACGAACGCUGGCGGCAGGCCUAACACAUGCAAGUCGAACGCUCCGCAAGGGGAGUGGCGCACGGGUGAGUAACACGUGGGAACCUACCUUCUGGUACGGAACAACCAAGGGAAACUCUGGCUGAUACCGUAUACGACCUCCGGGUGAAAGAUUGAUCGCCGGAAGAGGGGCCCGCGUCCGAUUAGGUAGUUGGUGAGGUAACGGCUCACCAAGCCUGCGAUCGGUAGCUGGUCUGAGAGGANGACCAGCCACACUGGGACUGAGACACGGCCCAGACUCCUACGGGAGGCAGCAGUGGGGAAUAUUGGACAAUGGGCGCAAGCCUGAUCCAGCCAUGCCGCGUGAGUGAUGAAGGCCUU
RNAcentral lists this ribosomal RNA (360 nucleotides) under uncultured bacterium. RNAcentral's name for it is "bacterial SSU rRNA". It matches the Rfam family "Bacterial small subunit ribosomal RNA", at positions 28 to 418 of the family's 1533-position model. The record is from RNAcentral.